GGCAGUUCUUGGGUGACACACCCCGGAAUUGGGCUCCUCCUCCGGGGUGCAUCACCCAAGAACCACA
Molecule: non-coding RNA, 67 nt
Organism: Myotis lucifugus (little brown bat)
Lineage: Eukaryota; Metazoa; Chordata; Mammalia; Chiroptera; Vespertilionidae
Source: Rfam